CAGUCGCCACGGGAAUACGAAGGGUGCAAGCGUUACUCGGAAUUACUGGGCGUAAAGCGUGCGUAGGUGGUGGUUUAAGUCCGUUGUGAAAGCCCUGGGCUCAACCUGGGAAUUGCAGUGGAUACUGGGUCACUAGAGUGUGGUAGAGGAUAGUGGAAUUUCCGGUGUAGCAGUGAAAUGCAUAGAGAUCGGAAGGAACAUCUGUGGCGAAGGCGACUAUCUGGGCCAACACUGACACUGAGGCACGAAAGCGUGGGGAGCAAACAGGAUUAGAUACCCGAGUAGUCCCUGUCUCUUAUAC
RNAcentral lists this ribosomal RNA (301 nucleotides) under uncultured bacterium. RNAcentral describes it as "partial 16S ribosomal RNA". It matches the Rfam family "Bacterial small subunit ribosomal RNA", at positions 509 to 807 of the family's 1533-position model. The record is from RNAcentral.